CCUACGGGAGGCAGCAGUGAGGAAUAUUGGUCAAUGGACGAGAGUCUGAACCAGCCAAGUAGCGUGAAGGAUGACUGCCCUAUGGGUUGUAAACUUCUUUUAUAUGGGAAUAAAACGUUCCACGUGUGGGAUUUUGUAUGUACCAUAUGAAUAAGGAUCGGCUAACUCCGUGCCAGCAGCCGCGGUAAUACGGAGGAUCCGAGCGUUAUCCGGAUUUAUUGGGUUUAAAGGGAGAGUAGGUGGAUUGUUAAGUCAGUUGUGAAAGUUUGCGGCUCAACCGUAAAAUUGCAGUUGAAACUGGCAGUCUUGAGUACAGUAGAGGUGGGCGGAAUUCGUGGUGUAGCGGUGAAAUGCUUAGAUAUCACGAAGAACUCCGAUUGCGAAGGCAGUUCACUGGACUGCAACUGACACUGAGGCUCGAAAGUGUGGGUAUCAAACAGGAUUAGAUACCCUUGUAGUC
RNAcentral lists this ribosomal RNA (460 nucleotides) under uncultured bacterium. RNAcentral describes it as "partial 16S ribosomal RNA". It matches the Rfam family "Bacterial small subunit ribosomal RNA", at positions 338 to 795 of the family's 1533-position model. The record is from RNAcentral.